AAUUAAAAUUUUCAAAAUAAAGGAGACUAUUUUGGUCAUUUUCCUUAUUUAAUGCUAUUUUGUGACAAAAACUUAAAAGAUCUAUUUGAGAGAAAUGCUCUACAAUAUAAGAAAAAAUAAGUAAUAAGUAAAUAUACAAUACGAGAAAUGAAAAAUUAUAUCAAACAUCUAUCUGAAAAAUGUAUAGUUUUCUAAUUUUUUCAAAGGAAAUAUGUAUUCACACAAACAUACAAUUUAGAAUUUGUUGUUGUUUAGAAUACAACGUUCAAAAAAAUAACUAUAUGGUUAACAUUUGAAAAUAAAAAUAGCUCCGCGCGUAACGCGGAUUAACUCUUAGUCUAAUACUAUAAAUAAGACUUUAUCUCUUCUCUGGUGUUGCCACAUCAGUAAAUAGGUGAUUUUGGGAGUGACACGUGUCCCGCCUAAUAAAAACGCACUGUUUCAUUAAUCAUUUAUUCUAAUUUGAUUUGGGCUUCUGGUGACACUUAAGACGCUUAACUUUUGACGUUUUUAUGGUACAAAGCCCUAUAGCCCAACAAAGUAAAUUCUAAUUGUGUUCGACGCGAAGACAUCAAAGUUCAAUGUUCGUCUUCUCUGUUCAGCGGUGACCUCUGAUCUUCGUCACUGAAUCUGAAACAGUCGGAGUUAUGUGUUCUUCGUGUGGUGUUAAAUCCUUAUUAAUUCAAUCCACCACGAUGAGGCGUUGAAUGCGUGCUAAGCUUUGUUGAGUCGGUAGAUCUGCGAAUAUAAAUAAGUCUGUAUUUCUAAAGUUUCAGAGAUAAGAAUGGCCAACUCCGUUCUUCUCCUCCCUAAUUUGAAGCCGGCCGUUGUCCCAAUCUCCCUCAGAUAUUCUUAUAUCAUCCCUCCGAAACAUUACUGUAGAUAACACGGACGUUGAACACCCCUCUGUAACUUAUGAUGCAAUCAUUCAAUCGGCCUAAUUGUUUCUUUCACACCACUAGAAGAAAGAUUUGGAUCACAGGUUAGUCUAAACUUUCUGAAGAAUAUGAAAAUACGUCUGGGAUCUAAUCUCUUUGUGGGACAGGUUAGUCUGCUUUCUAAGCUUUUAGUAUAAGAACUUUGAAGCAUUGAUUUUAUGGUUAUUGUGAUUUCAGCCAUUGUUCAUUAGGGUGCAACGGUUUAUGUUAGUUGUACUGUGAGCUGCUAAUAGUUUAGCAAUUAGAAUGUUUACUAUGUUCUCUUAUACGAAUGAAAAAUAUUUUUGCUUUGAAACAGUAAGCUAAUGCCAUUUUAGUGAUAAGGUUUGCUCAUUUCAAAACAAGAGCUUUACUUCAUCAUCACUUAUGAAUUUACAUACGUGAAACGUGUUUAAAUUGUGGCUUUGAUUGAGCUUCUUUUGCUUCUAUUCCCCACCUCUAUUUUUUAUCACCGUCAGUGAAACAUACUAAACGGCGCAGUCGGCAAUUUCCUCCUCCUCCUGGCUUACCCAGCAUCUGGAACUUGCACCAGCUAGGCAAGUAACCACAUCAGUCUUUAUGGAAACUCACGAAGAAGUAUGAUCCUGUAAUGUUCCUGACACUUGAAAGAGUCAGUUAUAGUUUCCUCCCCUGAAACAGCGUGGAAGGUAUGUAUAUAUUUUCAUAACUUCAGUUUUUUUCCUACCACUCCCGGCAAUGAUUAAAUAUUGUGCCAGACGAAAUAGAACAACUAUAAUGAAGUCACUCACAGAUACAUUGAAGUCAUGUUGACCACGGUCUACCUAAGCAACUUAAAUUUGGUAAAAAAUGCAGUUCGUACAUAUCUCCCAUGAAUGAUGUGGUCUUAGAAAUGGAAAGAACCUAGUGGAAUGUAAUAUAUUACACAUAGAAUUGUUACACUUCAGUUGGUGCGUACGCAGGACUUGGAGCAUCCAUGGCUGAGUAGAAUGUGGGACAUCAGCCACCAUGGCUUUCGGUCAACUACAUAAUCACAAAAAGGCCACCAGAAAGUUAAGCAAACCAAACAAAAAGAUAUUGCAAAAGCAAUGUUUAACUUUUUGCUACUAACCAAAUAAAACAAAUAACUUACGUAUAUAGAUUACUUAAACUUGCGUGUGUGACCAUACGUCCGAAACAAAAUUUAAGAUAUAAGAACUUAUAUCGUAUAACAAAGUGAAAAUUUUACGGUUAACAAAUAACAAAUAUCCCACAAGCUUAAAGGGUUUUGCAGAUUGUUCAAGGAUUUUCAGAUGAACCAAAAUUUACUAGCUUAAAACUUUCCGUUGUUACCAUGAAGCAUGUGUUGUAAUGAUUUAAAACAGUCUGGACUUACAUAUUGUAUAUUGCUAUUUGUAACUGAAGUUUGUUAGUACGGGUGGGAAAACUGCAGUGCCACUAUGCAAAACGUUGUAAAUAGUGAAUCUAUUAGUAAAAAAGGUGAAAGUUCAUACCCAUAUACUAGAUAUUGGUUUUUUUUUGUCAACAGAUACUGGUUAAAAUGCUGAGAAUAAAAAAUUAAAAAAAAAACUUAUUAAAACUCAAGAUUAAUCAAAUUAAAAGUAUAUAACUAAAACAUUAAACGUUUCAGGCUUUGGUUGACCUAAAAGAGCAGUUUCGCUAGAUAUUCUAAUCUCAUCUUGCCGGCUAAUUGAUCAUAGUAGGAUUGGUGUCAUAAUAUACCCGCUCUUUUCUUCUUGCAAGCAUCAUCAUGUUGAUAUUCUUAUUAUUUCCUGCUUGCGAACAGAUGACGAUACCAACCCUUACAGCAUAUAAGAUAAUAUUUCAAGAAUCCUAUUAAUGCAAGUAUUACUCUUAUGUUAGGAACAUAUUUUCUAGAAGAACAGGUACACACAAUGUUGAUUUGGUUAAUGUUAUUAUCCCAAUGUUAGCAUACUGGAAAUAGCAAAUGUCAUGUAAAGCUCAAAAAUCAAAAUAGACCAUAUCAUGUGAAAGAGUUUUUUAGUAGAGCUCAAACAUGUUUUUUUUUUCUAAAUACCAAUGAAUUUAAAAAAUAAACAUACAAAAAUAAGAAAUACUCCAUAGCUAAGUGUAUAUAAUUCAAUCAGUUGUCUUUCUAAAAGAAAAUCCUGAAUACUAUCAGUAGACAAAUUUGUGAUUUCUAACAAAAAUAACAAAAUAAAAUACACUUACAUCUAUAAAUGCAUAUUAUGAAUUGUUUUAAUGUAGUAACAUAUAUAUAAUUUCUAAAAAAGAAAAAAUAGUAAAAUUUGUAGUAAAAUAGUGAAAAUUAAAAUUUAUUAAAAUUUAAAAUAUAUUGUAUUUUUUGUUCAUUUGUUUACCCGUCCGUAGGGCGGGUCCGACCCUAGUCUAUAAUAUAAUAGUUCAGUUUAUCUCCUCCUAAGCUGUCCACGUGUCAUUUUUGUGGGCCUCACUUUUAAUUUUUUGUUUCAAACGUGUGGGCUUUAGUUUGUAAUCUCUCUUCAGUUUUUUUGUGGGCUUUCCCACAAAUCGGCCCGGAAAGCAUCAUUUAGGGUUACGCACUUCACAUUUGAGAUUCUUCGUCGGCUGAGCCGUUUCCUAUUCGGAAGUUUUGUUUUUGUAGCUCGAUCUCUUCGACUCCUCCACGUUCUCUACCGACUUAGGGAUUUCUCUUCCUGUAACGGAUUCUCCAGCCUCCUUUAUAUAGAUUCGUCGAAGGUAAGCUCUCAGCUGCCUCUAAGAUCUAAUGAGAAGUCCUAAAAAAAAACCAAAAAAAUUAAAUGCAAAAUGAGUUAAAAGGAGACGUGUCUAAUAUGACACUUUUAGAACUGGUAAGCACCCUAUACGUGUUUCUUUGUUAUUGGCUAAUGCUUUCUCUCUCUUCCUCUUCCUCUUCCUCUUCGUCGAUGUUGGAGAAACAAGAGCCUGAAUCGUCGUCAUCAUCGGAGGAGGCGCAAGCUGUGACUCCGUGGGUCGUCUCCGGUAAUGUCGAUCACGAGAAGGUGAUCGAAAAGUUCGGCUGCGAUAGGAUAGACGAGUCGCUGAUUUGCGUGUUUGAUGAUUCGGUUUUUUUUUGUGUGUUUGAUGAUUCGGUUUUUGAUUUGCAUUGAUGGGGAUGUUAAAAGUUAUGUUCUUUUGGCUGAGUGAGGAUGAAUGGCAAAGUAACCAGGAGAGGGGAGAACAAAGUAACCAGGACUCUUGGGUCUCGGGAAUUCAUGCGAUACUACAAACAGAAGCCACCACCAUCUUCUCAGAAACACAUUGUCAACUCUCUAGCCACGAGGUUUGUUUCCUGUGAUAAGGGUUCGUCAGUUUCGUUAAAGCUCCAGACUUUAUGUUUUCAAUUGCCUCUGACGACACAGAACGCUUAAGGUUCUCCUCCUCUCUUUUCUCAAAUCUGGAUUGUAUUUGCUACAAGUAUUGGUAUUUGCUACAAGUAUUGGUUUUUGGUGAUAAGGGUUCGUCAGUUUCGUUAAAGUUUCAGACUUUUUAUUUGCAUUUUCCCUUGAUUUGAUCUUUUGGAGCUCAGCUGCGUUUAUAUGGUUGGUGAUGUAUAGUGGUGGUUAAUCAAGUAAGUGUUCACGCUGGUGUGUUGGAGACAGUUUGAUUUGGCGAAUAGGGAAGCAAUGGAUGAAUCUGCAGAAUGGCGGAGAAUGUUUGACUGUGAAGCUGAGAAAGCUUCUAAGUGUAACUCAGAGCUGGCACUGGAAAAUGCAGCAUUGCUCAGUAAGAUAGAGACAUUAAAACAAGAGCUGGAAGCUUCAAGGUUAAAGUGCCGUUCAAGAGAGGCACCCCAUUAGAUUGGUUUUCUGUAGUAGACAUCCAGCGUUUGAUAUUAGCUCUCGCUCAUUCAGCUGCUGGUAAGAAAAUCUUAAACAUUUCAUUCUCAUGUAUAACAGUUGUUGUAGUAGACGAUUUGUAGGCUCUUUUUGGAACAAUCAUACUAGCAAUACCUGUAAUAUACAUCAUCAUUUUCAUCACCUUGUAUCGAGAUAAUCCAUCUUAAAAUUCAAUUCACUGGAUUCAUGUGUUGUUUUCAGAGUA
Molecule: long non-coding RNA, 4922 nt
Organism: Brassica napus (rape)
Lineage: Eukaryota; Viridiplantae; Streptophyta; Magnoliopsida; Brassicales; Brassicaceae
Exons: 2
Source: RefSeq, a predicted model, not a curated record